Molecule: unclassified non-coding RNA, 1817 nt
Filed under: uncultured fungus
Lineage: Eukaryota; Fungi
Description: sequence contains 18S rRNA gene, ITS1, 5.8S rRNA gene, ITS2, 28S rRNA gene
Rfam family: Eukaryotic large subunit ribosomal RNA (bases 663-1817)
Source: RNAcentral
GGAAGGAUCAUUAACACUCUGUUUGGUUGGUUUGAAGAUGGCCAGCAAUGGUUAUCAACAGCCUUCCAAUACAAAUCACCUUGAGAAUCGAACUGUUCACCGAACGUGGCAGCUAGCUAGCUAGCGUGCAGUUAGGAUAAUUUCGGUUAUCCUACCCGGCUGCUGCUGCUGCUGCUACAUCUCAAUUUAUUUAAACCCCUUUAAUCUAAUACAACUGAAACUAUAUUUUUUUCCGAAAGGAAAAAAGAAGAAAAUAAAGACAACUUUUGACAGUGGAUAUCUUGGCUCUUGCAUCGAUGAAGAACGCAGCAAACCGCGAUAACUAAUGUGAAUCGCAGAAACCUGUGAAUCAUCAAGACUUUGAACGCACAUUGCGGUCACGGUCGGGGUAACUCGAACGUGACCAUACCUGUUUGAGAAUUGGUUUAUUCAAGAUCAAGCUUAGUCUUGGAAAUGAGGUCGAUAUUCGUCACUGAGUAUCUUCCUUUAAUAACUUGACACAUGCAAGCAAAUCCCGAAAAGCAAUUGAGGGAAGUUAGGGCCCAUUAAGCCCUAUUGCGUAUAUUUAAGUAAUAUAUGCAAUUUGGGUGGACUUUGACCGACCAAGGUUGUGGGAAGAGCUUCUGCUAUGUAAGUACACUAACCAACCAUGAAGCCAUUUCUUAUCUCAAAUUAGGUAAGAUUACCCGCUGAACUUAAGCAUAUUACUAAGCGGAGGAAAAGAAACUAACUAGGAUUCCCCUAGUAGCAGCGAGUGAAUAGGGAAAAGCUCAAAGUUAAAAUCCCAGCAAUGGGAGUUGUACUUUUGAGAGGCAGCUCCGGAGCUCCAUCAGGUAUAAGUUCCUACUGAAUGGGACGUCAGAGAGGGUGAAAACCCCGUCUUUGACCUGAAACGGGACUCACCACGGACUGCUAUCAGAGAGUCGGGUUGUUUGGGAUUGCAACCCUAAUUGGGUGGUAAACUUCAUCUAAAGCUAAAUAUAGGCAAGAGACCGAUAGCGAACAAGUACCGUGAGGGAAAGAUGAAAAGAACUUUGAAAAGAGAGUGAUAAUAGUCCUUGAAACUGUCAAAAGGACAAGCGAUUACGGCUGUUGUUGCGAUGGUCCAUCCCCUUCUCCGGUGUGAGGUGUUGCCGUGUGUAGACCCCUCAAAGGCUGCUGCGGCAAUUCUCGAAGCGCUGGUGGAGGAUGCGUUGGGCCAUUGCCGGUCAACGACAGUUUUGGGCAUCAAAUUCCGUCAAGGGUGGUCGGGAAUGUAGGAGAGUGGGUUCCUUGCGUUCUCACUUUCAACUUAUAGCCUUCCAUCCGAAACGGAUCCGAGACUGGGGAAAGGCCUUCCACGGCCCAAAGAUUGGGACAGAUCGAGACCUCUGGGGGGGUACCGGCGGGCUAACUCUUAGGAGGGAGUUCGUACGGGCUCUUUCAGGUGUCGAAGCUCUGCCCUUUCUCAAUGUUGACAUAUACGGCUUUAAUCGUCCCGUCUUGAAAACACGGACCAAGGAGUCUAGCAUAUAUGCGAGUAUUCGGGUGGAAAACCUAUGAAUGCGAAAUGAAAGUAAAGGGCCCCUUUGGGGUCUGAGGUAGGACUCUUCAGUCUUCGGACUGGAGAUGCACUAUCGACCGAUCUGGAUGUUUUUUGAAGGAUUCGAGUAAAGGCAUAUCUGUUAGGACCCGAAAGACGGUGAACUAUGCUGGGUAGGGUGAAGCCAGAGGAAACUCUGGUGGAGGCUCGAAGCGAUACUGACGUGCAAAUCGUUCGUCAAAUCUGGGUAUAGGGGCGAAAGACUAAUCGAACCGUCUAGUAGCUGGUUCCCCUC